CCCGUACCCGUUCGGGGGCUUUGUACAGGUGCUGCAUGGCUGUCGUCAGCUCGUGUCGUGAGAUGUUCGGUUAAGUCCGCUAACGAGCGCAACCCUCGCUGUGUGUUACAAGUGUCACACGGAACUGCCGGUCAUAAACCGGAGGAAGGUGGGGAUGACGUCAAGUCAGCAUGGCCUUUAUAUCCUGGGCUACACACACGCUACAAUGGGAAGGGACAAUAGGUUGCGAAGCCGCGAGGCGGAGCCAAUCCAGCAAAACUUCCCUCAGUUCAGAUUGCAGGCUGCAACUCGCCUGCAUGAAGUUGGAGUUGCUAGUAAACGCAGGUCAGCCAUACUGCGUUGAAUACGUUCCCGGGCCUU
RNAcentral lists this ribosomal RNA (360 nucleotides) under uncultured Anaerolineaceae bacterium. RNAcentral's name for it is "bacterial SSU rRNA". It matches the Rfam family "Bacterial small subunit ribosomal RNA", at positions 1010 to 1382 of the family's 1533-position model. Lineage: Bacteria; Bacillati; Chloroflexota; Anaerolineae; Anaerolineales; Anaerolineaceae. The record is from RNAcentral.